AGGUCCCUCUCUCUCCCCCAGCGACCAGGCCGAAGCUGACGUCGCCUGCCAGGUCCAGGCUUCAGUAUGCCAGCGGGGCUUCGCAGCAGGCACAGCCUUCCAGCCUUCCCAAACCUGCUCCCCGGGACAGAGAGAUGAGAAGUAAUUCCGCUCCUGCCAGUUGCCUCACGCGAAGCACGGAAGCGCCUGCUGUCAAGGUUGGGAGUCGUAAACAGCUCUCCUCAAGGCUCUCUACAGCAAUUCCUAUGGCUUCCCGCUCCUCACUGCGGCUUCCGGGAAAAGUGGUUUCGUCCAAGCGUUUUUGCCUUAAUAAAGGAUCAACUACACAGGAGUUGGUGUGCAAUAGGACCCAAGAGCUGAAGGAAAAUGGUGAGAGCAAAGAAAAGCAGGUUGCAGCAAGGAUUGUCUUGGGUGCAGGUGAGCAAUAUGGAGUUGUAGAUUCUUGCCUUGUGUUGGGAAACGUGGGAAGCUGCUUGUUGGGCAACGCUGCUCCCUCCCCUGAUGGGCUCUGGCUGACCAGGUGUGCUGUGGAUGCUCCAUCCUGUGCUGCAGGCAGGGGGUGCUGCCUUCACAGAAACUGCAGCUGGGCAGCCUGCAGUCCUGAGCCCUGCACAGAGGGAGGGGAAGUGAAGAGACUCUCCUCUACUGGGACAGCCCUGUUCCACCUUGCCCGGGCAGCUGCCUGCCCUCACUGGGAGAGUAGAUUCCUAGCAGGAGCCCAGAGCUGCUGGGAGCAAGGCCAUGCAGGGGCACUUUCUCCCAGCAGCACCCAUACAGGCCAAGCCAGCAGCAGCUGUUGGGCUGGAAGUGCUGGGAAACUUCUGACUCUCUUGGACAAGUUCUGUCCUUCCCUGAUCUGGAGCAGCCCUGUGGCCAGGUUGAAGAGUGGCCAA
This is a non-coding RNA of Cyanistes caeruleus (blue tit), 893 nucleotides long. The record is from RefSeq and is a predicted model, not a curated record. NCBI's taxonomy places the organism in Eukaryota, Metazoa, Chordata, Aves, Passeriformes, Paridae.